This 460-nucleotide ribosomal RNA is filed under the name uncultured bacterium. RNAcentral describes it as "partial 16S ribosomal RNA". It matches the Rfam family "Bacterial small subunit ribosomal RNA", at positions 338 to 795 of the family's 1533-position model. The record is from RNAcentral.
CCUACGGGAGGCAGCAGUGAGGAAUAUUGGUCAAUGGGCGAAAGCCUGAACCAGCCAAGUCGCGUGAAGGAUGAAGGAUCUAUGGUUUGUAAACUUCUUUUAUAUGGGAGUAAAGUGAGGAACGUGUUCCUGUUUGUAUGUACCAUAAGAAUAAGCAUCGGCUAACUCCGUGCCAGCAGCCGCGGUAAUACGGAGGAUGCGAGCGUUAUCCGGAUUUUUUGGGUUUAAAGGGUGCGUAGGUGGUAAAUUAAGUCAGCGGUGAAAGUCUGUGGCUCAACCAUAAAAUUGCCGUUGAAACUGGUUGACUUGAGUAUAGUAGAGGUAGGCGGAAUGCGUGGUGUAGCGGUGAAAUGCAUAGAUAUCACGCAGAACUCCGAUUGCGAAGGCAGCUUACUAAACUAUAACUGACACUGAAGCACGAAAGCGUGGGGAUCAAACAGGAUUAGAUACCCCAGUAGUC